Molecule: non-coding RNA, 72 nt
Organism: Fragilaria crotonensis
Lineage: Eukaryota; Bacillariophyta; Fragilariophyceae; Fragilariales; Fragilariaceae
Source: the annotation of a GenBank genome assembly
AGAUAAUUAACUCAACGGCAGAGUAUCUCGCUUACAACGAGAAAGUUAGUGGUUCAAAUCCGCUAUUAUCUA